RNAcentral lists this ribosomal RNA (744 nucleotides) under uncultured Escherichia sp. RNAcentral describes it as "bacterial SSU rRNA". It matches the Rfam family "Bacterial small subunit ribosomal RNA", at positions 30 to 763 of the family's 1533-position model. Lineage: Bacteria; Pseudomonadati; Pseudomonadota; Gammaproteobacteria; Enterobacterales; Enterobacteriaceae. The record is from RNAcentral.
UGAACGCUGGCGGCAGGCCUAACACAUGCAAGUCGAAUGGUAACAGGAAACAGCUUGCUGUUUCGCUGACGAGUGGCGGACGGGUGAGUAAUGUCUGGGAAACUGCCUGAUGGAGGGGGAUAACUACUGGAAACGGUAGCUAAUACCGCAUAACGUCGCAAGACCAAAGAGGGGGACCUUCGGGCCUCUUGCCAUCAGAUGUGCCCAGAUGGGAUUAGCUAGUAGGUGGGGUAACGGCUCACCUAGGCGACGAUCCCUAGCUGGUCUGAGAGGAUGACCAGCCACACUGGAACUGAGACACGGUCCAGACUCCUACGGGAGGCAGCAGUGGGGAAUAUUGCACAAUGGGCGCAAGCCUGAUGCAGCCAUGCCGCGUGUAUGAAGAAGGCCUUCGGGUUGUAAAGUACUUUCAGCGGGGAGGAAGGGAGUAAAGUUAAUACCUUUGCUCAUUGACGUUACCCGCAGAAGAAGCACCGGCUAACUCCGUGCCAGCAGCCGCGGUAAUACGGAGGGUGCAAGCGUUAAUCGGAAUUACUGGGCGUAAAGCGCACGCAGGCGGUUUGUUAAGUCAGAUGUGAAAUCCCCGGGCUCAACCUGGGAACUGCAUCUGAUACUGGCAAGCUUGAGUCUCGUAGAGGGGGGUAGAAUUCCAGGUGUAGCGGUGAAAUGCGUAGAGAUCUGGAGGAAUACCGGUGGCGAAGGCGGCCCCCUGGACGAAGACUGACGCUCAGGUGCGAAAGCGUG